CUUGGCUGUUCUGGGCACACUGUACCAGUGGGUGGAUUAAUGAGGUGCCUUCCUGACCAGGCUGCCAGUGAUGGGGCAGAAAAUCACCAGCAAGAAAAGGGCAGAAGGCAGAGAGGGAGGAAGGAGAACAGGGGUAUCAGAUGAUGAUGACGAUGAUGAUGAUGAUGAUGAUGAUGAUGAUGAUGAUGAUGAUGAUGGUGAUCAUAUCCAGAGAGAAGCAAAGUGAAUGUG
This 231-nucleotide long non-coding RNA is filed under the name Homo sapiens (human). Its description in RNAcentral is "long non-coding RNA NONHSAT169397.1". The record is from RNAcentral. Lineage: Eukaryota; Metazoa; Chordata; Mammalia; Primates; Hominidae.